This 339-nucleotide unclassified non-coding RNA is filed under the name Hevea brasiliensis (rubber tree). The record is from RNAcentral. Lineage: Eukaryota; Viridiplantae; Streptophyta; Magnoliopsida; Malpighiales; Euphorbiaceae.
AAGAAGAGUAGAUACAGUGAUACAGAGGACAGUGAAGAAAGCGAGACAGGUGAUUCUGAUGUCAGUGACCAUGUCAAGUCAAGAAAAAGGAGUCGUACAAAGAGGUCCAAGAAUAGUAGGAAGAGGAGGUACAGUGAUUCAGAUGAGAGUGAGGAAAGUGAAGGCAAAAAGUUGAGGAAGCGGAGGAGCUCUUCGACUUCAUCGAAAUCCAGGAGCAAGAGAAAAGGACAGUCAGAAACGGAGAGUAAAAGCAGCUCGUCUGAGGAGAAUUCUGGUUCUGAAGACAUUGAUGAAAAGAGUAAAUUAACGGUUGAUGGAGAGAAAAUGGCCGAGAUUAAU